This is a long non-coding RNA of Amblyraja radiata (thorny skate), 3229 nucleotides long. RefSeq lists it as uncharacterized. Lineage: Eukaryota; Metazoa; Chordata; Chondrichthyes; Rajiformes; Rajidae. The record is from RefSeq and is a predicted model, not a curated record. The transcript is spliced from 5 exons.
UGCACAGAUAAAACACACGGAGGCUCUUUCAUCUGCCCUUCAUUCUGUGAGUUGAAAGAGCGAGAAUGUCGAAUUCAACGCUGGACAGUGCUAUUUAUUCGUUUUUUAAAGCGUUCAUUUUUAAAUGCAGCAGACUGCUUUAGCGAGAGAGUACUUUAGCCUUUGUGAGUUCCGGCAUUAUAUACGCUGCCCUAAAUGAUUCUUCUUCUGGAUGUCGAUAAAUUGCACCCUUCUUGCAGUUAACGAGUCAAGAAGCAAGACCUCAACAUUCUGAGGGGAAGAGACACAAAAUAAAAUGGCUGGGGCCACCACAUUCAACCUUUCAAAAUUGCAUGUGGAAAUGCCAAUCUUGCCAGAGAAGAAAGUAAAAUAACCUGUGGUGGAUCAACACAUUUAUUGACAACCCUGCUGGAGAACCUUCACCAGAAGGAAUGCAGUGGCUCACCACUAUGUCUACAAAGAUAAACAUUAACUAGGAAUAGAUGCUGGCCUGCUGAGCACUGGGAGUCACAGGGAGCAUCGAUCUAGUCUGAAGAAGGGUCUCAACCCGAAACAUCAACCAUUCCUUCUCUCCAGAGAUGCUGCCUGUCCCGCUGAGUUACUCCAGCUGUUUGUGUCUAUCAUCAAUCUAGUAGUUCAGGAGUGGAACAGAAAAUGGCGUAACUGCGAAGAUAGUGGAUUCACGAGGAUUCAGCAAUGCAAGCUCUGGGUCUGAUUCAUCAGUCUGGAAAAUGAAAAGCUAAUUGUAAGCUAUAAUUAUGUUUCCAUGAUAGUUAUGGCAAGUCAAUGAUCCUUCAUCAUGAAUGCAAAAGAUGAUUUGUCUCCACUGUGUCCUAUGGCUUUUUAUUCCUAUGUGAUUUGACAUGUGCUUCAUAUAGGGAUGAAAGCCAUGAAAUACAUUGUGAGCUAUCACCAGCGGACGAUGUAGCAACAUCUAGCAUGAAUGUUGCUUAAAGACUUGAUGAUAUUCUGCCAGUAAAGAAGCAUGCUACUAACAUGGACUGUGGAGUUGUGGAUGUUGACAACCCAGCAGCUGGUGCCUGACAUCCAAGUACCGCGAUGAUGAAAAAGCAGUUGCUGUCAUUUCAACCUCACAUUGUUACGCGCUUCCAGAAAUCUUGGCAAUAUUAUUUUUAGCCACCGUGUACAGCUGAGUGUACUGAGGCAUCAAAGGCAUUGAUCCUUCAACAAACCGUGGAGAUCUUUGAUUUGGACCGAGGAAAAAACGUCCUGUAAGGAUUCCUGCACGUAAUUACAUAAGAGUACAGCUCCUGGAAGGAUCUGAAUCCAUCUAAGCAUGAGAGGCGUCUGAGAUAAGUAACAUGGUAAAACUCUGGAGUUCAACUCCAUAUGAACCACUGUCGUCAGGAGGGUGAGAAGAAGGGAAGCAAAGGCAAAGGCAAAAGAAUAGAGGAGGCAAAGGAAAUGUAAAAUAAAGGAUGUGACUCAUUCCUCCAAAUCAAACAACAACAGCAACGCCAACUACCUGCCAACCAAUUUAUUGAUCUGGCUAUUUUAGACUGUUAUCAUCUUGCUACAGCUGCUCGAUGUUAGCACAAGAAAAAUGUCCUGCACAUCCUACAGCCAAGGAUAUAGAAAAUAGAAGACAAGGAACAAGCCCAUUGACGGACAAUGUCAGCGCUGACCACGAUGCUAAAUUAAACUAACCCGGUCUAUCUGUAUGUGAUCCAUGUACCUCCAAUCUCUGCAUGUUCAUGUGCUUCUUAAACACCACUAUUGUAUCUGCAUCGCAUCGUAUUUGACAGACGAAAUGUGGCCUGCAGGUUGACAUUGAGUUGUUCAUCUCCCCAGAUACCUUAUCGGUAUUUCCACUCUUUAGGGCACUUUGAAUUACAGGUUAUUUAAUUUAACUUGCAACAAAUUUGGACAAGCUACAGUGAGUACAUCUGAAACAGUUUCUACAGUUCUGUUCAGAGAUAACUUCCUGAAGCAAAUAUAAACUCUGCGGAACGAGUGGUAAGACUGAUCCUGAGGAGUGCGGAGAAACCAGGAAUACUCAUCUUUUCCUGUAGGAAAAUUCCCAAUAAUUCACCUGACUUUGAUAUAUAUGCAAGCUCUUUGUAUUUCAAACAUGGAAAAAAAUCAAGGACCCAGCAUUUAUUGUCAAUGUAUAGAGCAGCCACUGUGGGUUAGAUGAAAUUAGUUACUGUUAGCUACUUCCACAUAAUUCAAGUUCCUAAAUAUGUAUUUCUUUACUAACUAAGACCAGCACCUUAUUUACCACUUGGGUACCUACAACCCAAAGGCAUGAGCACUAAAUUUUUCAAUUUCAGGUAACACUCCGCAACCCCAUCCCAUUUACCCAGCUUCCUCGACCCCAGCACACAACAUUUUUUCCCACCCCCCCCCCCCCCCCCCUUUUUGUUCCUCCUCUCUUCCCUACGCCCCAUCUGGAAGCACACACAUUUACCCUUCCCCAUUCUGCACCCUCCUCCCCUUCCACCUCUAUUCCUUCCUCUGGCUUCACAUAUCGUGCCUCGUCUAUGCUUAUUGCCUUAUCUCAUACUAUAUGUCUUUUCAUCUCUGGUCUUCAUCCAAACAUCUGCCAAUCAACCACUCCCUGCCCCCCACACUGCUAUCCACCUAACACUUGCCAGGCUUUGUCCCACCCAUCUCUCUUCCAGCUUUCUUCUCCUCCCUAUCCUCUUCCCCCCCCCCGCUACAAUCAGUCUGAGGGCUUCACUGGGCAUGAGACAUCCUUGGAUCCGUCCCCUAUCCAUGUUCUCCAGAAAUGCUGCCCAACCCGCUGAGGUACACCAGCACCUCGUAGCUUUCUUUCCACUCCCCCUCCCUCUGACAUUCUUAGCCCUCCUUCAUCCACUCAUUUCCCAACCACUCCCUACUCCAGGUCCCCCAUUUUCCUUCCACCCCACAUUCCCUUCCACCCACUAUCCCUCCCUCUAGUGCUACAUUUCAUUCCUCUUUUUCCUUUCGCAUCCGAUUUCACCUUUGCAUCCUUUAGUCUUCCCUGCUUCACCUCCAGCUUGGUUCCUAUCCCCACCCAUCUCGCCCCCUCCUGGCACAUCCACGAAUCAACCUCUCCACACCUGAAUCACCCUAACACUUGCUAGUUCUAGCCCCACCCCACUCUUACCAAUAGUUAUCUUUUAUUUUUUCCAACAGUCUCAAGAAGGAUCCUGACCAUUUCCCUCCUAAUCUUUAUUGUGGAUGAUCAGCCAUUAUCACAUUGAAUGGCAGUGUUGGCUAG